Molecule: ribosomal RNA, 119 nt
Organism: Mus spicilegus (steppe mouse)
Lineage: Eukaryota; Metazoa; Chordata; Mammalia; Rodentia; Muridae
Source: Ensembl
GACUAUGGCCAUACCACCCUGAACGCACACGAUCCAGUCUGAUCUCGGAAGCUAAGCAGGGUCAGUUCUGGUUAGUACUUGGAUGGGAGACCACCUGGGAAUACCAGGUGCUAUAGGCA